GACGAACGCUGGCGGCGUGCUUAACACAUGCAAGUCGAACGGAAAGGCCUCUUUCGGGGGGUACUCGAGUGGCGAACGGGUGAGUAACACGUGAGUAACUUGCCCUUGACUUUGGGAUAACUUCAGGAAACUGGGGCUAAUACCCGAUAGGAGCUCCUGCUGCAUGGUGGGGGUUGGAAAGUUUCGGCGGUUGGGGAUGGACUCGCGGCUUAUCAGCUUGUUGGUGGGGUAGUGGGUUACCAAGGCUUUGACGGGUAGCCGGCCUGAGAGGGUGACCGGCGACAUUGAGACUGAGAUGAGGCCCAGACGCCUACGGGAGGAAGCAGUGGGGAAUAUUGCACAAAGGGUGGAAGCCUGAUGCAGCAACGCCGUGUGCGGGAGGACGGCCUUCGGGUUGUAAACCGCUUUCGAUCAUGACGAAGCUUUGUGUGACGGUAGUGGGUGAAGAAGCACCGGCUAACUACGUG
RNAcentral lists this ribosomal RNA (467 nucleotides) under uncultured bacterium. RNAcentral describes it as "partial 16S ribosomal RNA". It matches the Rfam family "Bacterial small subunit ribosomal RNA", at positions 28 to 507 of the family's 1533-position model. The record is from RNAcentral.